This 360-nucleotide ribosomal RNA is filed under the name Vibrio sp. t1_1b. RNAcentral's name for it is "bacterial SSU rRNA". It matches the Rfam family "Bacterial small subunit ribosomal RNA", at positions 1082 to 1441 of the family's 1533-position model. The record is from RNAcentral. Lineage: Bacteria; Pseudomonadati; Pseudomonadota; Gammaproteobacteria; Vibrionales; Vibrionaceae.
AAGUCCCGCAACGAGCGCAACCCUUAUCCUUGUUUGCCAGCACGUAAUGGUGGGCACUCCAGGGAGACUGCCGGUGAUAAACCGGAGGGAGGUGGGGGCGACGUCAAGUCAUCAUGGCCCUUACGAGUAGGGCUACACACGUGCUACAAUGGCGCAUACAGAGGGCUGCAAACUAGCGAUAGUAAGCGAAUCCCAAAAAGUGCGUCGUAGUCCGGAUCGGAGUCUGCAACUCGACUCCGUGAAGUCGGAAUCGCUAGUAAUCGUAGAUCAGAAUGCUACGGUGAAUACGUUCCCGGGCCUUGUACACACCGCCCGUCACACCAUGGGAGUGGCCUGCAAAAGAAGUGGGUAGUUUAACCU